GCGUUUUUCGCAGCGGCGGAGGUCGACCGCCGACUUCGGUGAUCGUCGACUACAUCGACGAGUACCGCCACCGUUUCGGGGUCGACCCGAUCUGCUCCGUGCUCC
This 105-nucleotide non-coding RNA is filed under the name uncultured Rhodococcus sp. RNAcentral describes it as "ALIL pseudoknot". It matches the Rfam family "ALIL pseudoknot". The record is from RNAcentral. Lineage: Bacteria; Bacillati; Actinomycetota; Actinomycetes; Mycobacteriales; Nocardiaceae.